Molecule: ribosomal RNA, 406 nt
Filed under: uncultured bacterium
Lineage: Bacteria
Description: partial 16S ribosomal RNA
Rfam family: Bacterial small subunit ribosomal RNA
Source: RNAcentral
AUUGAACGCUGGCGGCAGGCCUAACACAUGCAAGUCGAGCGAGCGGCGGACGGGUGAGUACUGUCUGGGAAAAUGCCUGAUUGAGGGGGCUUACUACUGGAGACGGUAGCUAAUAACGCAUACACUAAGAUGUCUCCAGGUUGGAUUAGCUUGUAGGUGGGUUGAUGGCUCACUUAGGCGACGAUCCCUAGCUGGUCUGAGAGAAUGACCAGACACACUGGAACUGAGACACGGUCCAGACGCCUACGAGAGGCAGCAGUGGGGAAUAUUGCACAAUGGGCGCAAGCCUGAUGCAGCCAUGCCGCGUGAGUGAAGAAGGCCGUCGGGUUGUAAAGCACUUUCAGCGGGGAGGCGUUACCCGAGGAAGAAGCACCGGCUAACUCCGUGCCAGCAGCCGCGGUAAUAC